RNAcentral lists this ribosomal RNA (30 nucleotides) under Peltaster cerophilus. Its description in RNAcentral is "partial 28S ribosomal RNA". Lineage: Eukaryota; Fungi; Ascomycota; Dothideomycetes. The record is from RNAcentral.
UUGACCUCGGAUCAAGUAGGGAUACCCAGA